Molecule: ribosomal RNA, 468 nt
Filed under: uncultured bacterium
Lineage: Bacteria
Description: partial 16S ribosomal RNA
Rfam family: Bacterial small subunit ribosomal RNA
Source: RNAcentral
GACGAACGCUGGCGGCGUGCUUAACACAUGCAAGUCGAACGGAAAGGCCCUGCUGUUGUGGGGUGCUCGAGUGGCGAACGGGUGAGUAACACGUGAGUAACCUGCCCUUGACUUUGGGAUAACUUCAGGAAACUGGGGCUAAUACCGGAUAGGAGCUCCUGCGGCAUGGUGGGGGUUGGAAAGUUUCGGCGGUUGGGGAUGGACUCGCGGCUUAUCAGCUUGUUGGUGGGGUAGUGGCUUACCAAGGCUUUGACGGGUAGCCGGCCUGAGAGGGUGACCGGCGACAUUGGGACUGAGAUACGGCCCAGACUCCUACGGGAGGCAGCAGUGGGGAAUAUUGCACAAUGGGCGGAAGCCUGAUGCAGAAACGCCGCGUGCGGGAUGACGGCCUUCGGGUUGUAAACCGCUUUCGCCUGUGACGAAGCGUGAGUGACGGUAAUGGGUAAAGAAGCACCGGCUAACUACGUG